UUAAAAUUGUCUAUUCUAGACUACAAAAAGUCUGCAUUCCAGGUAGGAAGAACCCUUGCCAAGAUUCUGCUUCUAGCUAUCUUGGAAUAUGUCCUCCUGUUAACCUGAUACCUUGCCUUGAAUAUCACCAAUAAUAAUAUUUUGUUCCUUAUUAAAUCCUCACUGUAUGUGCGCUUUGCAAAUGGCUCUAGCUUUGAAACGAAGUUCUUAUCAGUUUUGCGGGGAAGGGUAGAGGUAACCAAAAGGUAAAAUAUGUUAAGAUAUACACACCAAGUUUUGUUAUCUGUCUCUUAAAGCAUUUAAAGUAUUUUUCCGUUUUCUUUUUUUCAAUUCAAGGGUGACGUAUGUUACCUGUUUAGCCACCUGCCUGGAGGCGGGUAAAAACCCUAAGUACGCAGAGCCCCCGUUGCCUACAUGAAGGUAUUUUAUAAGUCCCGAGAAAUGGGAAAGCUUCCAAAAGGACGGCAAAGGGUAGACCACAUCGCUCCUUGCACUAGUAAGGAAGCAUUCCACGAGUCCGACUAACCUCAUCAGUUUUUAAAGGGGUGACGUAUGUUACCUGUUUAGCCACCUGCCUGGAGGCGGGUAAAAACCCUAAGUACGCAGAGCCCCCGUUGCCUACAUGAAGGUAUUUUAUAAGUCCCGAGAAAUGGGAAAGCUUCCAAAAGGACGGCAAAGGGUAGACCACAUCGCUCCUUGCACUAGUAAGGAAGCAUUCCACGAGUCCGACUAACCUCAUCAGUUUUUAAAGGGGUGACGUAUGUUACCUGUUUAGCCACCUGCCUGGAGGCGGGUAAAAACCCUAAGUACGCAGAGCCCCCGUUGCCUACAUGAAGGUAUUUUAUAAGUCCCGAGAAAUGGGAAAGCUUCCAAAAGGACGGCAAAGGGUAGACCACAUCGCUCCUUGCACUAGUAAGGAAGCAUUCCACGAGUCCGACUAACCUCAUCAGUUUUUAAAGGGUAAGUCUCUGUAAUCAAAAAGACCAGACAGGGUCUUCGAAGUCCACGAGUUUUGAUCGAGACCAAUAAAAGAUUCGGUAAUAAGCUAGCACUUUAUGCGUCGAUGUAAGUGUAAAAACCGAUCUGGGAACAUUAAUCCUAAUUAAACAGGGAGUGGAGGGUGUCCACAAGGUCAAUCUAAAAUAGGCCAUUUUGGUGUUUUUAUUCAUAAUUUAUCAUCAUCAUCAUCACAUAAGCCCGGUUAUUUUGGAUCAGAAAGAUUGGAGAUAUGUUUUGGUUGGUGAGCCCCCUCUGUCACUGUUUCGCCCUUACCAACGCUAUUGAGUUCGUAAACGUACGGAGUCGAGUCACGGAGUAGUGACGACCCCCUUAUUAAGCAUACCCGGCAAAAACGAUUAUCUGACUAUACCAUUCCUGCAAUAAUUUGAGUUUACACAGGAGGUUAAGGCCGACGCGUUAACGAACUCCGUACCUAAGGGGUAUUUUUCCAAGCGCUAAUAAGCGGUGAUAUCGUCAGAGGCCUUGCCCUCCUCAAACGGUAUUUGAGAAGGAGACAAGAGAAGCGUAAAAUCAGCAAAUUGGUAGCAUAAAAUGUGCAUGCCCGAGUCCCAACAUGUCUCCAACGAGACAACAGUAAAUUGCUGAUGCCAUUGGCGGUGUCACCGGGUACACAACGGCAGCAUUUAAGACCUUGUUGCAUAUGAGCUGACAAAACAUAAGCAUAAAGGCUAUAGUAAAAAAAAAUGAAGAUAAAUAUUAAAUUUGGAGACUCUAGCUAUUAUGACCUAAAAGAUUUUCUCAAUUCAGGAUUUCGUUAUCGGUUUGCAUCUAUUGCUUGAAAAAAGCUUAGAACAGAUUGACCCGCCAAUAGUGUUAAUUAAGAAUAUAUAUACUUAAUGGUGUCGAAGAUGCCUUCUACCUCUAAAAUUUUCAAUGACUUCAGCGUAUUAAAAUGAAACUAAAAUAGCAGCACAAAUUACAAUCAGAAUUGUAUUUCUAUUUGUAUGUGUACACAAGUAACCAGGAAUUCUUGCUUUUUGCGCUAGCUGCUACUCGGCUUUCCAACAAUCUCUUUAAAAGCCUCUAUAACCAAACAGCCUUGAAAUUGUUGUCGGGUUCCAAUUUAUUUUUCAUAAGUAAAACAGUAUUUAAUUUUGCUACCUAGUGUGGCUUAUAACAUUAGGGCUUAUAAUCGUAGUUUAUCCACGCUCCAAUUGUAAAUGAUAAGCUUUGCCGUACUACUAAAAUUUACUACUUCCCAACAAAAAAAGGAAUAACAAAGUUUUAAAGUAUAACCUGAUCACAUCAUCUGUUUCUUAAUAGGCCUAAUUCUAUGUUGCAUACCGUUAGCCCUUGCUAAAACAAGAAAUAACGGCUACCAGGGUGGCCAGUGUUGGCAGGGGAGAUAAUAAAUUAUGAAUCUUAGUUAGCCGAGCAGUAGUUUCAUGAGUGGCUUAAAGAGCAAGUAGAGUGGUUGAGGUUAUAAGACAGCCACUACACAGGGAAGCGGUCCUCGAUCUUAGCCACCCGCACAUCGGGUUGCAUCUACUAGGCCAGGCCGAGCUUUAAUAUAUUUCAUAUUAUCCCAAGAAAACAAAUUUGGUUCUUAUUACAUCAAUGGCGAUCAGAUCUAUCCUCUUGCGGUAUACCAACCCACAAAAAGCGAUAAUUUAUCCCUUUUUUAAAUAGUACAUUGUCGAUAUUAGUCAUUCAUUAUUUAUUAGCGAUGACCCUGUUGAAUUCUUCAAUAAGGUCAAAUGUCUGGGAGUAUUUUUGGUGUACAAUAACAGGUUGGUAAACAUUUUGAAUUAUUGUUAAAAUAAGAAAAGAAAACCCGGCAAUAUAUUUGCAAGGCAUGUACAACAAGUCGCAGAAACAAAUUUAGUUAAAAAUAAAAACAAGUAAGAAACUGUAGUUGUGAGUUCCCAACUGUUGGAUACACUGAUUCCUAUUCUACCAACACCAAAUACAGCCCGAGAUAAGAGCUCGUUUGCUUAAACAGUAAUGGAAACAAAUUAAAACAAGUAAGAGAUUCUAGCCGGACAUCCAGACUAAGGGAUACCCUAAACCCUCUUCUUCCAACAUCAAAUGCAGUUUGCACUACGCGCUCGAAAAGAUAAAUUAAAAACAAAAUCCCUUCGCAGGGCUUGAACUGGCAACUGACCGCAUUACUUGCUGCCGACUCUACGCAAAACAAAAGUAGUUUCCCCCUAGAGAAAACAUCUAAUUAAACCAACUGCACAGAAAACAGUAAAAUCUCAAUUACAAUGCUGUUCACAGAAUUUCAAAAAAUGCGUAUGUGUAUGUGUAUGCAGAAAUUCCCGCGAUUUGCGCUUGCUACCUAAAACUCGAGGCCAGCAAAAACAUAUUUUAUUUAAUAACUUCUGUGUUUCUUUACUGAUCUUGGUGCAAUUUUCUGCAAAUUAUUGAACCAUAGAAUAUUCGUGUAUUAUAAAAGGCCAAUUGCAUUUAUUCUGUGGCUUAUAUUGGUGGGUAGCAUAAAUUGAUUAAUUAAAUUGAUUUAUAUCUAUGGAUUAGUAUCGUGUAGGUGGCGAUAGGUAUAAAAUUAAAGAUACUUGACAUAUAUAUAAUAUGCCUGAGUAAACAUAUCACUUUUGGUGACUCUAGCUCUUAUUAAAUAACUAGCUUGCUCAAAAAACCAGGAUUUCGAAACCAAUUUUUUUUGAUUGCUUAGAAACGAAGUAAGUUAUCGAUUAUCGGAAACAAGGUCGAGCUGCGCAUGUACUAAGAACACCUACAGCUAAAAUUUCAUUUUUAAAUUUUACUACGCAGUUGGAUGGAGUGCAAAUUCGAAAAACAUAUUACAUGUGCACAUGUACACAUGUACUCACCCACAUUCAUUUGCUUCGUAUUCUAUCAACAGCUUGCCAUUGCGAUUGUUUUCAGUGCUGCUAUUUUAAUGCGUUUUUUUUCUUCUCAAUAAUACUUAAUUAUU
Drosophila virilis is the source of this 3916-nucleotide long non-coding RNA. RefSeq lists it as uncharacterized. NCBI's taxonomy places the organism in Eukaryota, Metazoa, Arthropoda, Insecta, Diptera, Drosophilidae. The record is from RefSeq and is a predicted model, not a curated record.